Prosopis cineraria is the source of this 2595-nucleotide RNA transcript. It is a transcript of the gene named serine/threonine protein phosphatase 2A 57 kDa regulatory subunit B' beta isoform-like, with no coding region annotated. The transcript is spliced from 3 exons. The record is from RefSeq and is a predicted model, not a curated record. Lineage: Eukaryota; Viridiplantae; Streptophyta; Magnoliopsida; Fabales; Fabaceae.
UUCCUUUUUUCAAAUGAUUUUCGCAAUUUUAGUUAUUUCAUGGUGAGUAUGAGGAAGCACGGGAGAAGGACGGGGAAAUAACAAAUAAACUGAAAAUAAUGCAAAGAUAAACCGAUUUACCAUUUUAAAAAAGCGUGCUUGUAAAAUUGUAAUGGAUAAUCAUCAUCCAUCGUCAUAUUUUCCUCUCUAAUUCUCUAUCUUCCUUAAUUAUCUCCCCACUUUCGCCACUUUCAACGUCUCUCCCUCUGUAUCUGCCGCCUGUUCUAUCUUCGACUGGUUGAUCGCCAGAACGCCUCUCCGACCGAUCAUCGGGCCACCAUUCCGGUGAUGCGACAUGGCUUAUUUGCUGACUUGAUCCAUUGUUUGUCAAUUUUGGAGCACUUGGGAACACCCUCACAAAUUUACUUUGUUCCACCUCCCACUUACAGAUCCGUGUGCCUUUGUGUCUUGAUUCGAAAACUGGGGGAAGAAAAUUAUUUGUGGAUUGCGAACGUGGCACGGUUAUCUUUUCCUGCGUUUGAUGUUUUCGCUGUACACGCUCGGAAUCCAAUCAUGAGCUGCAUUCUGAAUUUGUUCAUGAGCUAGGGAAUAUAGGGUUAGGGUUUGUUGCAUUUCGAAAAUGUUCAAGAAAAUCAUGAAGGGUGGGGGCAAAAAGCCCUCUAAGUCUGAUCCCAAUGACAGACCGCUUUAUGGAAACGGCUCCCCUGGGAACCGCAAUGCGGCGCCUGCCAACGUGGGCGUCACCAAAGUUGGUACCGGCGCGUCAGGCCUUACGUUGGGCGGGCCUCCUCCUUCAGGUGCCAUGGAACCCCUCCCCUCGUUCCGGGAUGUGCCCGCUACGGAGAGGCAGAAUUUGUUCCUUCGGAAGUUGCAGGUUUGUUGUUACGUCUUGGAUUUCUCGGACAACUUGAAGUCAGUUCGAGAGAAGGAAAUCAAGCGACAGGCGCUAAUGGAGUUGGUUGACUUUAUACAAUCCGGGUCAGGGAAGAUCACGGAAAAUUGUCAGGAAGAAAUGAUUAGAAUGAUAUCGGUAAAUAUAUUCCGGUGCUUGCCUCCGGCUUCGCAUGAAAAUACAGGGCAAGAGGUUAACGACCCAGAAGAGGAGGAACCUUGCUUGGAACCAGCAUGGCCCCACCUGCAGCUUGUGUACGAGCUGCUUCUGAGGUAUGUGGUGUCGUCGGAUACCGACACCAAGGUUGCCAAGCGAUACAUUGAUCAUUCUUUUGUGUUGAAAUUACUUGAUUUGUUUGACUCUGAGGACCAUCGGGAGCGAGAAUAUCUGAAAACCAUCCUACAUCGUAUAUACGGAAAAUUCAUGGUUCAUAGACCAUUUAUUAGGAAGGCAAUUAAUAACAUUUUUUACCGGUUUAUAUAUGAGACUGAGAGGCAUAGCGGUGUCGGAGAGCUUCUUGAGAUUCUCGGCAGUAUAAUCAAUGGCUUUGCACUGCCAAUGAAAGAGGAGCACAAGUUGUUUCUUGUUCGAGCCCUUAUUCCUCUACAUAAACCUAAGCCCGUUGCUAUCUAUCAUCAGCAGUUGUCAUAUUGUAUCACUCAGUUUGUUGAAAAGGAUUUCAAGCUGGCAGAUACAGUUAUUAGGGGCCUAUUAAAGUAUUGGCCGCUGACCAAUUGCCAGAAGGAAGUUCUCUUCCUUGGAGAACUGGAGGAAGUGCUGGAAGCUACACAGGGUGCGGAAUUUCAACGCUGCAUGGUGCCCCUUUUCAGACAGAUUGGCCGCUGUCUCAACAGUCCUCACAUUCAGGUUGCAGAACGAGCCCUGUUUUUAUGGAAUAAUGAGCAUAUUGUUAGCUUGAUAGCCCAAAACCGGGCUGUGAUAUUCCCGAUAAUAUAUGAAGCACUGGAGAAAAAUAUUCAGAGUCAUUGGAACCAGGCGAUUCAUGGGUUGACUGUGAACGUACGGAAAAUGUUCACGGAAAUGGAUGCCGAAUUGUUUGAAGAGUGCCAGAGGCAAUAUGCAGAGAAAGAGGCGAAGGCCAAAUCGAUGGAAGAGCAGAGAGAAUUGAAUUGGAAGAGACUAGCUGAUGCGGCUGCAGGGAGAGGGAAUCACAUGGUUACAGCUUAGCCUGACCUCGCAUCAUCACCUCAGCAACUGGGAGUGACUGGAUAUGCGAAACAAGUUAGGAAGUAAUUUUGCUCCUCUUCACUUCGGUUGGCAAGAAAGGACGCCAUGUUUGUUCCAAUGGAAGCUGAGCUGCUUGUUCCCGCGUUGAUGCCGCAUCACGCGAGUUAGUGGAUGACGAAGCACCUGAUGCUAAUUUAUGUGCUCGCGAGAUGCCCAUGGCAUAAUUUCUAGUGGACGAAACUAAAUUCCAUCCAAGUCUAGGGUCUUUUUUUUUUUUUUUUGGCACAACCAAGUCUAGGGUCAAAGUGCCGAAAUUCUAAAAAGAAAGAAAGAAAGAAAGAAACCCAGAAUUUGUCUGAUUUCCUUCUAGCACUAGUAAUGAAAUACAAUAGUUUAUAUUUUACUGAUAGGUUUAGUUUAUAUUUCAUCUAGCACCAGUAAUGAAAUACAAUAGCACUAGAAUGGCUUCCUCCAUUUGUUAUAUUUUAUAUUGUUAUCGAUGAUAGGUUGGAAGA